Podarcis lilfordi (Lilford's wall lizard) is the source of this 72-nucleotide non-coding RNA. The record is from the annotation of a GenBank genome assembly. Lineage: Eukaryota; Metazoa; Chordata; Lepidosauria; Squamata; Lacertidae.
UGGAUGGCUCAGUUGGUUAGAGCAUGGUGCUGAUAACGUCAAUGUUUCAGGUUUGAUUCCCAUAUGGGAUAG